This 325-nucleotide ribosomal RNA is filed under the name uncultured bacterium. RNAcentral describes it as "bacterial SSU rRNA". It matches the Rfam family "Bacterial small subunit ribosomal RNA", at positions 28 to 334 of the family's 1533-position model. The record is from RNAcentral.
GAUGAACGCUGGCGGCGUGCCUAACACAUGCAAGUCGAACGAAGCGUCUUAAAGGAAGUUUUCGGAUGGAAUUUGGGAUGACUGAGUGGCGACGGGUGAGUAACGCGUGGAUAACCUGCCUCAUACAGGGGGAUAACAGCUAGAAAUGGCUGCUAAUACCGCAUAAGCCCACGACCCGGCAUCGGGUUGAGGGAAAAGGAGCAAUCCGCUUUGAGAUGGCCUCGCGUCCGAUUAGCUGGUUGGUGAGGUAACGGCCCACCAAGGCAACGAUCGGUAGCCGGACUGAGAGGUUGAACGGCCACAUUGGGACUGAGACACGGCCCAG